This 1488-nucleotide long non-coding RNA is filed under the name Mytilus galloprovincialis (Mediterranean mussel). Lineage: Eukaryota; Metazoa; Mollusca; Bivalvia; Mytilida; Mytilidae. The record is from RNAcentral.
CUUACAAACUAGUAUCUCAAUUGUUUGUAAAACAAUUGAAAGGUCUUUCCUGUAAAAUUGAUGUUUUCGUAAUGUACUUUGUACGACCUUUCGUUUUAUAUACGACAAGCAUACCUUCUGAAACUUUUCUCUUUUAACACUUAAUGACCUCAUCCGGCUACAUUUUUGAGAUCGGAAGUAUGAUAUAUGUAACAUAGAGUAGAUGAGCUUUCAUUUGAUAUGCGACAACGCCUUGUUCUAGAAAGUUUGAUUUUUGCACUUAAUAACCCUAUCCAACUAAUUUUUGGAGGUCAGGAAUUUGAUAUUUCAAAUGUACACAUCAUGACCUUUCAUUUGAUAUACAACAACCCUAUCUUAAAAGAAAAUUUAUUUUUUGCACUCAAUAACCCCAUCCAACCCAUUUUUGGGAGACGUCAAUUUGAAAUUUGAAAUGUACGCUUUAUGUUCUUUCAUUUGAUAUGCGACAACCUUACCAUCUGAGAAAUUUGAAUGUUUGCACUAAAUGACCCCACCCGUCCCCCUGGGAUGAAAAGGGGGUUUAAAAUUUUCAUUUUUAAGUAGACUUUAUCAAGACCUUCAAUUUGAUAUAUCAGAUGACCCCAUUUGACAAAGUGCAAAUAAUGAUGCAAUAUCAACUCUAUAAAUAAAAGUUAUGAAACUUACAAAGUCAAUGCAAAACUUGAAAAUUUCAAAUUGAAUUUUUUGGUGUUUUUUUCCAUGGAAUGUUUUUGGUAUUUGGGCAAACAUAUAACUAUAUUAACCUCUUCAAUUUCUAAAACAUUUUAAGUGGUAAGCUCUUGUUGAUUCAGAAAUACACGCCUCCGCUCGCAAAACUUCAAACUGCAUUAUCUCUUAAACGACAAUAGAUAUCUCAAAUCUGUUAAAUGAUAAAUGAUCUACAGUUGAAGGACAACAUUAUAGAAAAAGAAUUGGGACAAUUUCAAAGUUCACCAAGGUCACAAUUAAUCAUCAAAUAUAUGAUGCAAUACUAAACUUAAGAACCGGAAGUCGUAGAGACAUGGGACUAGCACCAUUCAACUCAGGACCACUUAACCUUUCAACUAUCACAAGGUCAAGGUCAUUGUAUACUGUGAAGGUCAAGGUGAAAUUUCAUCAUGACCUGACAUUGACCUCAAAUUGAAGGUCUUGAAUUACUGAUCAUCUUUGCAGUUUAUAGUAGGUUGAUAUCUGUUACAUUUAAAAAGAUAUACACACAAUACUAUAUUUUUAAGAAUCAUCCCGUUGUAACUUUUGAACAGACGGUCGGACAUUUUUGGGCUUAUUGUAUAAAAUGUAUUAUCAUAUACUUAGACUAAAUAACAUAUAAAUUUUACCGUAUGAUAAUAGCAUUAAAUUGACGUAAAUUCCAUAUUUUUUGAAUUGCUUAGCGGGCUGAUAUGAAAAGUUUAUCACAUGCUUCGAUUGUUAUCACAUGCCUUUCCGUAACGUUAUCACAUGGCAUUCCGGUAAUACUCGGCCAAUUCCGGA